GCGGGUAUAGUUUAGUGGUAAAACCUAG
Molecule: transfer RNA, 28 nt
Filed under: Gaultheria nummularioides
Lineage: Eukaryota; Viridiplantae; Streptophyta; Magnoliopsida; Ericales; Ericaceae
Description: partial tRNA-Gly
Source: RNAcentral